GACGAACGCUGGCGGCGUGCUUAACACAUGCAAGUCGAACGGAAAGGCCCUGCUUUUGUGGGGUGCUCGAGUGGCGCACGUGUGAGUAACACGUGAGUAACCUGCCCUUGACUUUGGGAUAACUUCAGGAAACUGGGGCUAAUACCGGAUAGGCGCUCCUGCUGCAUGGUGGGGGUUGGAAAGUUUCGGCGGUUGGGGAUGGACUCGCGGCUUAUCUGCUUGUUGGUGGGGUAGUGGCUUACCAAGGCUUUGACGGGUAGCCGGCCUGAGAGGGUGACCGGCCACAUUGGGACUGAGAUAGGGCAGAGACUCCUACGGGAGGCAGGAGUGGGGAAUAGUGCACAAUGGGCGGAAGCCUGAUGCAGCAACGCCGCGUGCGGGAUGACGGCCUUCGGGGUGUAAACCGCUUGCGACUGUGACGAAGCGUGAGUGACGGUAAUGGGUAAAGAAGCACCGGCUAACUACGUG
This 468-nucleotide ribosomal RNA is filed under the name uncultured bacterium. RNAcentral describes it as "partial 16S ribosomal RNA". It matches the Rfam family "Bacterial small subunit ribosomal RNA", at positions 28 to 507 of the family's 1533-position model. The record is from RNAcentral.